Molecule: microRNA precursor, 176 nt
Filed under: Arabidopsis thaliana (thale cress)
Lineage: Eukaryota; Viridiplantae; Streptophyta; Magnoliopsida; Brassicales; Brassicaceae
Description: miR319a stem-loop (ath-MIR319a)
Gene: ath-MIR319a
Rfam family: MIR159 microRNA precursor family
Source: miRBase by way of RNAcentral
AGAGAGAGCUUCCUUGAGUCCAUUCACAGGUCGUGAUAUGAUUCAAUUAGCUUCCGACUCAUUCAUCCAAAUACCGAGUCGCCAAAAUUCAAACUAGACUCGUUAAAUGAAUGAAUGAUGCGGUAGACAAAUUGGAUCAUUGAUUCUCUUUGAUUGGACUGAAGGGAGCUCCCUCU